GGGCCGGGCAGCGCCUCUCAGCUUCCCCCGGGGGCUCCAGGCACGGCCCCGCGCAGCUGCCGGGGCCCUGGGGGCUGACGCGCGGGGCGCGGGCCCCUGCACCCGGGGAAGAGGGAGAUGCAGAGCCCCGGUCCCGGCUGCACAGCCCGAGCCCCCGCUCGGGCUUUUCUCGUGUAUGGGGCCGGGCCGCGCUGCCUGCAGGGGCCCCCGGUGCCGCCGGGCAGACAAGGGGCUCUGACGUUUCCUUGCAGGAGCCGCCGUGACUCGGGACAAGAAGAUUUCCUGCCCGGCCUCCCGUCGGGCAGAAACCAGAGUCCCCUCGGGGGCGCGCAGCGGGGGGCAUGAAUAGACACACACGUAUCUGUAGAUAUGUGUAUAGCGAUAUGCACACACGCCCGCACAUGCACAGAUGGAUGCACCUAGAUACUUGCACCCGUGUACAGAUCUGUAUGCACAUACACAGAAAUGCACACAUACGCAUACACACAUGCACAUAUAUAGAUGCACAUAGCUAUUUACACACGUGCACACGCAGAGAUGCAUACACCUAGUUGCACCCUCAUUUGUACACAUACACAUGCAAAUGCAGGCAUACACAUAUAUAUCCACACAUGCAUGCAGUUAUAGAUGCACAUAGCUCUUUGCACAGAUGCACCCAUACACAUAUACACACACAUGCACACAUACGCAGAUAUACAUACACAUAUACACACAUACAGAUAUACAUGCACACAGUCAGAUGCACACACAUGCACGCAUACGCAGAGAUACCCACAGAUGUUUGCACACACAGACCCAUAGAUUGUAAGGCUGGAAGGGACCUCGGAAGAUCGACUCCAGCCCCCCUGCACCAUAUACACAGGUACACAACCAUAUGCACGUAGAGACAUAUGCAUGCAUACCUACACGCACAUAUACACACACAUAUGCACGCAAAUGCGUUUUUAAGGCCUAAAGCAAAGGAAACACCCGCGAUCCUUCCCUUCAACCUCGCGGGGAAGCAGAAGAGGAGGGAGGCGGCGGGAGAGGUAGAAGCGCCCCCCCCCGGCCAGCUCCAGCUGGGGGGUUAUUUCUUGUUCCCACUGGACACAAGGCUGGGAGAGCGCGGGGCUCGUUCCCUGCGGUGCAGCGGGGGGCACAUGAGCCUUGUUUCGGACGGGCAGAGGGAGGCCGCCGCGGCAGGAGGGGGCCAAGCACCUUGCCCCACCCCCGCUCCGCUCGGGCAGCCGGGCCCGCGUCGCGCCGAGUGGAAACUUUCCACCGCCGGCGGGUCGGGGAGGGGAGCGGGGCAGUUGGAGGCGCACACUGCCCCUUGCAACACAGCCCUGGCAGGCAGCGCCUGCUCUCGGCCCCGCUCCCUGACGCCACAGCCACCAAAGGCAUCUCUGGCUGGCACAGGGAGGGGCAAGCGUGCGUGUGAGAGAGACAGAGAGAUCCCUGAGUGCUGGAGUUUGCAAGCACUUUUCCCUCAGCAAAGAUCUGGAGAGAGAGAGAGAGCCCAUGGAGGCAGAGGGGCUCCUAGGCUCGCCCCUGCGGAAGCGAAGAGGCGACGUGUUGAGACCGCUCCCAGCCGGCUAGUGAAUGGGGGGACCCGACCGGGCGCCCCCUGUCCCAGCCCGGCAUCCCACCGCUUCCCCUCUCCGCCCGCCGCCUGCAGGCAGGGGGAGCUCGCCCGGCACCACAGCCCGGGCUCUGCAGCAAGGCGUGGGAUGAUCUGCAUCCUGUUCGUGCGAUCAUUUCCCCCCUUGCACCAUCAAUAAUCGUACAAACGUUCAAAACGGCAGACAAGGUUUGGGGAAAUCUGCUGUCUUUUAAUCAGACCGACUCCAAUAGCUGAGAAAACUCUUCUAAGCAAGCUGUAGGGUUUAAAUGCACCUGGAUCAGGCUGAGGAAGCACCUGCAGUUGGUGUGCGCUCUUCUUGGGUGGAAUGAAUAAUAUGUACCAUAAUUUUGGAGGGUCAAAGUUUUGUAGCCUCUCCCCUUAAAGUUUUGUAGCCUCUCGCCGUAAAGUUUCAUAGCCUCUUGCCUUAAAAAAUGCUCCCCUCAACAUGUAUGCUCCAAAUGGGUACCGCAUUUUUGAGGGAUGCUACCAGAUGCGCCCCUGAAACAUGGAAGAUGCCAAAUUUGAAGCCAGUUUUGGAUAUAAAUUUCAUUGCUGAAGGUCAAGGAAGAUUUCUACACCUCCCUGCUUUUCUGCUAUUUGACACCACCAGGGAAGGAGUUCUGCCUGAUCUGCACAUUAAAGGGCUACUCACAAAGACACUCUCAUGGACCCAGAGGAACAGGCUUCCACCUUCAGCUUCCUCUGUGCUAAAACAAAGUCUUUUCUACCUAUGGGGACUUUUUACCAUCUUUAAUUUUCCCUGAGUUUGAG
Long non-coding RNA from Alligator sinensis (Chinese alligator), 2374 nucleotides. RefSeq lists it as uncharacterized. Lineage: Eukaryota; Metazoa; Chordata; Crocodylia; Alligatoridae. The transcript is spliced from 3 exons. The record is from RefSeq and is a predicted model, not a curated record.